UACCCUGUAGAUCCGAAUUUGUGAUUAUUUGAAGACACGAAUUCGUUUCUACGGGUGACA
RNAcentral lists this microRNA precursor (60 nucleotides) under Ptychodera flava. Its description in RNAcentral is "Pfl-Mir-10-P1_pre stem-loop". It matches the Rfam family "mir-10 microRNA precursor family", at positions 8 to 66 of the family's 74-position model. Rfam says of the family: In this case the mature sequence comes from the 5' arm of the precursor. The extents of the hairpin precursors are not generally known and are estimated based on hairpin prediction. The record is from RNAcentral. Lineage: Eukaryota; Metazoa; Hemichordata; Enteropneusta; Ptychoderidae.